This 535-nucleotide long non-coding RNA is filed under the name Ananas comosus (pineapple). Its description in RNAcentral is "long non-coding RNA (ACOM_LNC006991)". The record is from RNAcentral. Lineage: Eukaryota; Viridiplantae; Streptophyta; Magnoliopsida; Poales; Bromeliaceae.
AUAUAGUCUAAUAUACUAUCUAUAGUACCGGGGCUGCGGUACUAUAAUCCUGUUUUUUGAUCUUAGGGUGUUCAAAUCAAUGAUCCACACCGUUAAAACUAAUCUAGGGUAUUUAAAGUUUUUAGAAAUAAAAUUUUAUAUUUUUUCGACAUAGUUUAUUUUAUAGUCAAACGAUUUCAAAAUUUUUAAUUUUCAAUGACUACUAUGGCGAGUUUGGAGUUUAACUGUGUAGAAGAAUCUAAAUUUUCUCAAAUUUUGAUAGAAAAUACUUUAAACUAUCUAGAUUAAGGUUAACAUUCUUGAUCUUGAAUUAGGAUGUGUGGUUAGGAUGAUAGUGGUCCCCAUUUAGAAUGAUAGUGGUCCUCUAGGGUUGAGUGGGUAGUUGGUUUAAUAGUAUGAUCUAAUGGGUGAAAAUGAUCAAUGGAAUAAAUGUAAGAGCUAAAAACUUAUAAUUAUAAGGGAACCAAUACUCAUAAAAAUAUAGUAGCUAUAUACAUAUAUAUACAUAUGUAUAUAUAUACAUAUGUAUAUGUAU